Zea mays is the source of this 2490-nucleotide RNA transcript. It is a transcript of the gene named protein DETOXIFICATION 14, with no coding region annotated. The record is from RefSeq and is a predicted model, not a curated record. NCBI's taxonomy places the organism in Eukaryota, Viridiplantae, Streptophyta, Magnoliopsida, Poales, Poaceae. The transcript has 7 exons.
ACGUUGCGGCUACCAAAGUAGCCCUUAAUAAACCCCACCGCCCCGCCACCUCGCCCACCAUCCAGAAACUCGAAUCGUAGACACGAACGACUACUUGAGAGAGGAGAGGCGGCGGGAGAGAGAAGAGUCGACGACGACGGUAACCGGCCGCCAUGGAGGUGAGGGUGCCGCUUCUUCCGCAGCACAUAUUGCGGAACGGCGACGGACGGGAGAAGAAGUGCGGCGUGAGGCGGUGGAGGGAGCUGCUAGCGCGGGAGGCCGGGAAGGUCGGCUGCGUGGCCCUGCCGAUGGCGGCCGUGAGCGUGUCGCAGUACGCGGUGCAGGUGGCGUCCAACAUGAUGGUCGGCCACCUCCCCGGCGUCCUCCCGCUCUCCGCCUCCGCCAUCGCCACCUCCCUCGCCACCGUAUCCGGUUUCAGCCUCCUCAUUGGUAUGGCAAGUGGACUGGAAACUCUAUGCGGUCAAGCCUAUGGAGCAAAACAGUAUGAUAAACUGGGGAUGCACACCUACAGAGCUAUAGUCACACUCAUUGCUGUGAGCAUUCCAAUCUCACUUCUGUGGGCAUUCAUAGGCAAACUCCUGAUCCUCAUAGGUCAGGACCCCUUGAUCUCAAGGGAAGCUGGGAGAUACAUAGUCUGGUUGAUUCCAGGUCUCUAUGCAUAUGCCAUCAGCCAGCCUCUCACAAAAUUUCUACAGUCUCAGAGCCUGAUAAUUCCUAUGCUUUGGUCCUCCAUUGCAACUCUGCUCUUGCACAUUCCUCUUUGUUGGUUACUAGUGUUCAAGACCAGUAUGGGGUACAUUGGAGCUUCUUUGGCAAUAAGCUUGUCGUAUUGGUUAAACGUGAUGAUGCUUGCCGCUUACAUCAGAUACUCGGAUUCUUGUAAGGAGACCCGCUCACCUCCAACCGUUGAGGCCUUCAAAGGAGUCAGUGUGUUUCUACGCCUGGCUCUGCCGUCUGCACUGAUGUUGUGUUUCGAAUGGUGGUCUUUUGAGAUCCUUAUUCUUGUCUCAGGAAUUUUACCAAAUCCAGAGCUGCAAACUUCAGUUCUUUCAAUCUGUUUGACGACUAUCACAUUAAUGUAUACUAUACCUUAUGGGCUUGGAGCGGCUGCAAGCACUAGGGUAGCAAAUGAGUUGGGUGGUGGUAACCCUGAAGGAGCUCGAUCAUCUGUUCGUGCCAUCAUGUGUAUUGCAGUGAUGGAAGCAGUUAUGGUCACAGUCAUAUUGUUAGCGUCACAGCACAUCUUGGGCUACGCAUAUAGCAGCGACAAGGAUGUCGUCGCGUAUGUCAAUGCAAUGGUUCCCUUUGUGUGCGUCUCCGUUGCUGCUGACAGCCUACAAGGUGUUCUAUCAGGUUACAUCUCUUAACUUCCUUCAAUCGUUUAUCUGUCUCUCUCUUCAAAUCAAAUCAAAGUAUGAAGGAAAAGUAUUUUCAUGUUUUCGGAACCUCGCAAACGCAUCUUCGAAUUAUACCUGUGAAGUUAUGAAACAAACAAACUCGUUUUUUGCUCUCCAUACCAAACUACUGCACCUUUUACCCCCAUAGUUUGAUUUGCAUUAAUUCAAUCGGUGUGCUCCUCUUAAUUUUGGUAACAAGCCCUGUCAGGUGGCAAUCAGUCAUGCCAAUGUCAUGUAUACCAGGUAAGAUGCCCAUUCUGUUUUUCACUUUGUUCCACGAUACUAAUGCUAUUCUGUGUUGUGGAAGCAAUACUUUGUUACUCGGGGAGUCACUUGUUUGUCCCUUCGAAAAAUGGGCUCUUACGUGAACAUGGAUGCCGGUGUUUUCAUUGACACGCAUCUAGCAGAGAUGUUACCGUAAGCAGGCUCCACGUCACUAUGUGUUGCCCGAGGAUGCGGGUGGCAGCACUUGGGCGCCUACGUCAACCUGGGCUCGUUCUACCUCGUCGGGAUUCCAACAGCACUCUUCCUCGGCUUCGUUCUGAAGAUGGAAGCGAAAGGGCUUUGGAUGGGCAUUUCCUGCGGCUCCAUAGUGCAGUUCUUGCUUCUUGCCGUCAUAACGUUCUUCAGCAACUGGGAGAAGAUGUCUGAGAAGGCAAGGGAGAGAGUUUUCAGCGAUGAUGAGCCGUCAGAUAAGGGAACUUCGGAUUCCGAUGGACCGAGUUUUGUUCUAGUUUUGGCACGAGCCAUCUGAAUCUGAUCCCCCUUGUGAAGACGCAGCGGACAAGAUCUUGUAGACAAAGAAGCCCAUCUUGGAAUGGGGUUUAUGAUGCCUUGCUUUCUGGUCUCUGAACUGAAUGUACAGGGAACUUGUUGAACUCUGACCACUGUUCUGUGCUCCGUGCUCGUGCUUGCUGUUGUUUGUUAAAACAACGGGACAAUUGUAGCAGAAACAUGACUACAUGAGGCUUCUGAUGCUAUGGUAGAAAUAGUAACCACACUUUUGCAACUUUGCAUGUCUGUACCCUGCUUUAUUUGUGUGACCGUGGGGUUGCUCCAUUAUUUUCUGCACCAACAGCUCAUCAUCGACUUA